This 253-nucleotide ribosomal RNA is filed under the name uncultured bacterium. RNAcentral's name for it is "partial 16S ribosomal RNA". It matches the Rfam family "Bacterial small subunit ribosomal RNA", at positions 524 to 776 of the family's 1533-position model. The record is from RNAcentral.
UACGUAGGGUGCAAGCGUUAAUCGGAAUUACUGGGCGUAAAGCGUGCGCAGGCGGUUAUGCAAGACAGAUGUGAAAUCCCCGGGCUUAACCUGGGAACUGCAUUUGUGACUGCAUAGCUAGAGUACGGUAGAGGGGGAUGGAAUUCCGCGUGUAGCAGUGAAAUGCGUAGAUAUGCGGAGGAACACCGAUGGCGAAGGCGGGCUACUGGGCCGAUACUGACGCUGAUGCGCGAAAGCCAGGGGAGCAAACGGG